This 1187-nucleotide long non-coding RNA is filed under the name Cricetulus griseus (Chinese hamster). RNAcentral describes it as "lncRNA (ENSCGRG00000025118.1)". The record is from RNAcentral. Lineage: Eukaryota; Metazoa; Chordata; Mammalia; Rodentia; Cricetidae.
GAGCUACUCUUGUCCAUAGAAGGUAAGCUUCAGGAUGACAGGAAUGUUUUUCGGGGGUUUUGUCUCCAUCUUAUUUUGAGAGAGCAUGACACAGUCCCGGCUGGCAUUGAACUCACUGGGGAGCCCAAGAACGACCUUAAGCAUCUGCUCCUUCUGUCUGCGACCUCCCUAGUGCUGGGACAGCAGCUUCUGUGUCACAACACUGUGUGGUGCUGGGGACUGACUCCAGUACCUCACCGAUGGCAGGUAAGCCUUCAACAAUUGACCCACAUUGCCAGGCCUGGUUUUUUGUUUGUUUGUUUGUUUGUUUUUGUUUUUCCAUACAGGUUUUCUCUGUGGUUUUGGAGGCUGUCCCCGAACCAGCCUGUCCUCUGCCUCUGCCUCCUGAGUACUGGGACUAAAGAAAGGCGUGUGCCAUCACCACCCUGCUGGGCCUGGAUUUUGUUUGUUUGUUUUGUUUUGUUUUCCUCAUCAUCUUAUCCUCCGUGCCUAAAGCUCUGGCUGGUUGCAAAAGCUCCAGGCCCAACAAAUUCAUGGACUCUGAGACCUUCAGAAUGCCUGCGGACGUCAAGGACAAACACAUCCAGUUCUUCCCUGUCAGGGAUGGAAACAGAGACCCAAGGGGCCAGGGUUUUAUUCAAGCACACGGGAGGGAGGAGAGGCAGUCAGUUGCCUUUCCUGUCACUGCUCAGCACAACUGCUGACUCUUAGUGUCCUGAAUUUUCUCAGGAGCCCGAAAAGGCUGCCAUGACAAUUUAAAAGCCAUCAGGCUCUUUGUGUUUGGCCAGUGACAGAUGGGCACGUGGCUAUUUGCUCUAGAUAAACUGAGUUGAUCGAGACAUCAAAGACUUCCUACUUGACAAGCUAGUCCAACCAGAUUGUGAUACUCAGGGUUGAUGCGAAUUCAUUUUAAAGGCAAUGAACCAACCCCAUCAGUCUUGGCUAUUUAUAAGGAAAUGGUCCUGUUUGGGAAACCUGCACUUCUGGUUUGGGACCAAGCAUUGCUCAAUACAGACCUUACCACAGGGGGCAAGAACUCAGAAGGUCUUCCACCUGACUUGGGUGACUGGCAAAGCAGGAAAAAAUGGUUCUCUACUCUCCAGUAACAGCUAGAAACAUACCCCAUGCCAAGGCCAUGCCAGGCAAGCCCUAAGGACAUCAUCUGAAUAAUAAUAAAAAAAAACACA